Molecule: long non-coding RNA, 4640 nt
Filed under: Sus scrofa (pig)
Lineage: Eukaryota; Metazoa; Chordata; Mammalia; Artiodactyla; Suidae
Description: lncRNA (ENSSSCG00060058005.1)
Source: RNAcentral
ACUCGCAGGGCUCUCACUGCUCGCGGUGCGGCAGCCGCGCGCGGACUCCGCUGCGCCUCCGAGGGGGCCAGGCACGCGGUCAAGAUCUGUGGCCACUGGUUCCCAUGGUUUCGAGGCACCAUGAGGCACGCUGGCUCUUGGAAACUUUGGCUCUGGGCAGCACUUCUCCUGCUUCCUGCUUCCACUUCCGUGACGGUUAGGGACAAGCCAGAUUAAAUCUCUUAGUGGAAAUAGAUGUUUUCCCCAUUGACCUUGACAACGCACAUCGAGAAUGUCCAAAAUUACCUCAUGUUUUCAUAUGCAUAUUAGUCUAGAUAGCCUUUUAUUUCUCUCAUUGAUAGUUAAAAAUAUAAAUGUGAAUGUGCAUCUGUGUGUAUGUUUCUCCCUUUCCUCUUUAAAUUCUAAGUUAUUCACAUUAUAAGUAUGGAAACCCAUCACCAGUUAGGAAAGCAGGGAUGUACAUAAGGUUAAUUAGGAAAAGUGAAAAACUGAAUAGGAAAUAGGAAAGGAAAUGUAGUUUAAUUAUUGCCAGUUUUGUAGUGUCAGAUGAGGUGAACCAAAGACAACCAGUUGUGAGAGCACUUUUUAAACUAGAUAGAUAAUACUCACUUGCAACUGUUAAAUACCAACCUCAUAAAUAUUUCUGAAGGACUUGAAGGCAAUUUACUUCCACUUUAGAUUUUUUAAAAUGGUUAUGUGGCUAAUUUGAAAGACUUUUCUUGAACAUUGAAUAGGUGUUAAGUUCCUGAUGGAGAUCUACUUCGGUUACAAAGUUGCACUAGAUACAGUGAAAAGCCCUUUGCUAAGCAAAGAGAAACUCCAACGCUCUUUCUGUGCAAAGGAUGACUUGUGAUGUAUUCUGGCCAUGGUCCCAGGUGAAGAUGUGUUCUUAGACUGUGUGUCUUGUGCUUGGUCUUUUAAAUAUCUCUUUCAUAUUUUUUGCUAAACAGGUAUAAACACAUCCUAGUAGAGACUUUUGAGUUUAAAGCAUUCAGAAAAUAAAAACAAUCUCUUAUAAAGAUACAACACUUCUGAGCCUCUCAGUGUCUUGUCGGUCUUUACAGUUUUUUACUAAUUUCACAGGGUACAUUUCAUAAAUAAUCUACAUGAAAGUUUGAAUAUUCUAACACCAUACAAAUGAUGCCCUGUGGCUGUCAUACUUCUUUGGAGGGCAAAAAAAAACUUUCUUUCUUUCUUUUUUUUUAUUUUAUUUAUUUUUUCUUUUUUUUCAGAAAAAUCAGUAGUGGCUUAUGGCAAAAAGAAGUACAUAGGGCAGGGAGUUUACUCUGAUAAUGUUGCUACUCUUCUGAAUAUUUUUACGUCUCUUCCUUUUAAGAGAUGAGUAGGUAAUGCAAUUUGCUACUUAAUCAGAGGGGAUAGGACUUUUUUUUGGUUUGAAAGGAAAAUGAAUCAGUUUCUAGGUAUAAUGCUAGUGCAUAAUAACUGCUCCUGAUGGUAAUAAUGAUUUGAAGGAUCUGCAUAAAUGGUUUUCCAAUUUUAGUGUGAGCAAGAAUCAUCUGGAGUAUUGAUCUCUGAGCUCCACUGUUAUGCAAGAGAUCUUGGAGUGGGAUUCAGUAAUUUACAUCUUUAACCAGCAACCCAGGUGAAUCCAAUGCUCUAUGUCUGAGGAAAAUGGAGAAACUCUUCCUUUGGGAUAAUUCACUAUUUCCUUUUCAUUUAAAAUUUUUAUUUCUUGGCUUGUUAUCUUCCACCUUAUGCUACCAGGUACUUUUUAAUUAGUUAAUUAAUUUUGACUUUAAUGACUUUUGGGAGGGGGUGUAAGAACACAACAUCAGCUCUACCCUUUUAACAAUUUUCUAAGUGUAUAAUGUAGUAUUGUUCACUAUAGAUCUCUAGAACGGAAUCUUCUUGUAUAACUGAAACUUCCCCUUCUUGGGAUUCCCCUGAAUGUUCUUAUCUUGUAGCUUUGGUAUCUCACUUCUUGAAUCAGGUUACCUGGUGUGUGGGACAACCGAAAUGCGUAUAUUCUGGCCAAUGUAUUCUGCCAAAUUAAUCUUUCUGAAAGAUUUUCCCAAGAAUGUGAAUUCCAAAUUAAUCUGAAUGCUAACAAGAGUCACAUAAUGUGAAGCAUGAAGGGAAAUGAGGGAAGAAAAAAACGAAGAGUUGAUUUUUUUUAUCAGGCCAUUUGGUAGGAAGUGCUGGUGAAACACAGUAAAAGGUGCCAGGGAAAUGGCUUGACUUCAGGUAUCAUUUGCAUUAAUUGAAAAUUUCUGUGCAGCACUGUCAUAAGGACUGUUGGAGAGUAUGACAUGCCGGGCAUGGCCUGAUAGGGCUCUUCAUGUUUCUUGUGUGUCUGAUUCACAGCGCAAUUUCCCUUUUUAGUUUCCUCAUGUGCAGACCUGCGCGUGUGGUCACUAACCGUUAACCGGAGGGAAGUGAGUACAGCUAAAAAUAAAAUAUAACAAAUCAGAGGGAGAGGCUAGGGUUUCAACUCUGGAGUCUGUGAAGUUGUCAACAGUCUGCUGUUAAACUUAAAUAUACGAAGGAUAAGUUGAGUCUUUUAAUCGCUUUACUUAACUCCAUGGCAUGCUUAACGAUUACUUGCAAUCCUGGCCCAGUUGGGACAGAAUUCAAGAGUAAUGUGGAGGGAUUCAAUAACACCUUGACUGUUAAACUCUUGAAGCUAUUUAGAAUUUGUAGUUACAUAUUCUUUCAUCAAUUUGACUGUUAUGUUGAUAUUAUGAUAUAGGGCAUAUUUGCAUAUUUUUACACUGCAGAUAAACAAUCUGAAUGUGGCCAGUUCAGCUCAGUUGUCAAAGCAGGAGGGGAAGAGAGUUAUAUUAAUACAAAUAUAAAUCAUAAAGAUUGUCUCAAGACUUGCUUUCAUCAGUUUCUUAAAACCUUCUUCUAGGACAGAAGCUUAUGUAUCAUAAUGGUUCCUCUUCUCCACUUUGCUUAAUUUAAGGCAAAAGUACUGAGUUAUCACCAAAAGUAAUAAAGACAGAAAACAAGGUAAUGACUUGUAGCAAAAAAAGCCAGACUCAAUAAAAAGAGGUGACAGAAUGCCAUCCCUUCAGCUUAUGGUAAAUCUUUAGGUCAAGUGUAUGAUGAAAUUGAUUAUAAACUUAGGCCCCAAAUUAUACAUCCUUUUAAACUAGUUUUCUAUUGAUUGCAAGGAAAAACUAUUUUUCUGAAAUUUGGCUUUUACCUAUUGACCCACACUGCACUCUUAAACUCAGAAUAGAAGGUACACUAUCAUGUAGAGAAUUUUAUUUUGUGUCGUGAAAAAUUCUUCAUGUUCACUAUGGUACCAUAUAAGAGUCCUACUACUGACAGAUGUACUUUAUAACUCCAACAUUUUUAGGUGCAGGAAAGCAUCACAAUUUUUUUUUUUUUUUUUUUUUUUUUUUUUUUUUUUUNGUCUAAUCAGAGCUGUAGCCACCAGCCUACACCAGAGCCACAGCAACGUGGGAUCUGAGCCGCUUCUGCAACCUACACCACAGCUCAGGGCAAUGCCGGAUCCUUAACCCACUGAGCAAGGCCAUGUUUCCUAGUCGGAUUCAUUAACCACUGUGCCACGACAGAACUCCUAGCAUCACAAUUAUUAAAUAAAAAGUAUAGCUCCUACGUAGGUAUUCUCCAAAGGAGGAAUAGCUUUAUAUAUAUAUAUAUAAAUAAGCAAUGAUGUUUCUGUGACCUCUCGUUAGUUCUUUGUUAAAAGAUCUGUGUUCCUAUUUUUUUUUCUCGUUGGUCACUUUUCCAUAUUUUGGCGGCUAUAUGUUCUUUACCUCUUUUGUUAAGCAUUGUUUUUCUCCCAACCUAGGAUACCCUAUAAUCCUUUAUCAGAGGUAUUAGCAAAGUAUGAAGUGUACAGGGGUCCUAAGGGCAACUAGUAGCAAUUAAAUGAAAGGCCUCUGUGAACAGGAAGUCUUUCAGCCUUUACAAAAAUGCAAAACACCUGAAGGCUUUUAUUUUGAUCCAUUUAUGAAAAGAAAACAAAGUAGUUCUAUGUCUGUAGUAAAUUACUUCUCUUUGUCUUCCCCAACACCGAUCUUGAGACAAAUGUUCUGUCAUGAGUUUUGUCCCUAAAGGUAAAAAAACAAUUUUCCUUAAUGUAUGUUAGCAAACAAGAGUGAUACCUGUCAGAGUGGCGAUCAUCAAACAUACCACAUGUAACAAAUGUUGGCGAGGAUGUGGAGAAAAGUGAAUCCUCCUACACUGUUGAUGGCAAUGUAAAUUGGUGCAGCCACUGUGGAAAGAAGUAUGGAGGCUCCUCAAAAAACUAAAAACUACCACAUGACCUAGAAAUUCCGCUCUGGGUAUAUAUUCAAAAACCCCCAAAACACUAAUUCAAAAAGAUGCAUGCGCCCCAAAUGUUCAUAGCAGCACUAUUUACAGCAGCUAAGAUAUGGAAGCAACCUAAGUGUCCAUCAACAGAUGAAUGGAUAAAGAAGAUAUGGUGCAUAUACAUACAUGUGUAUGUAUAUAUAUAUAUACACACGUAUGUAUAUGUGUGUAUAUAUAUAUAUGUACAAAGAAUUAUACUCAUCCAUAAAAAAAAUGAAAAUUUACCAUUUGCAACAACAGGGACAGAUUUAGAGGGUAUUGUGCUAAGUGAAGUAAGUCAGAGAAAGAAAUAUACUGUAUAUUAGCACUUAUGUGUGGAAUAAAAAAAUAAA